RNAcentral lists this ribosomal RNA (498 nucleotides) under Oniscidea sp. JXAUM-L14085. Its description in RNAcentral is "partial 16S ribosomal RNA". It matches the Rfam family "Bacterial large subunit ribosomal RNA", at positions 1828 to 2621 of the family's 2925-position model. The record is from RNAcentral. Lineage: Eukaryota; Metazoa; Arthropoda; Malacostraca; Isopoda.
ACAUCGCCUAUUGAAUCAUUACAGGUAGAAUCUGCCCAAUGACGUUUUAACGGCCGCAGUAUUUUGACUGUGCUAAGGCAGCAUAAUCAUUUGCCACUUAAUUGCUGGCUUGUAUGAAUGAGUUGACGAAAGAUUACCUGUCUCUACAUUACAAUUCAAUUUAUAAUAAAGGUUAAAAUGCCUUUAUAUUUUAGGAAGACGACAAGACCCUAUAAAGCUUUAAUCCAAUUUAAUCUUAAUCAAUGAAGAUUUUUACUGGGGCGGCAAAGUUAUAAUUUUAUCCAAUUUCAAAUUAACAUUCUAGAUGAGUUUAACCUAUAUUUUCAAAGAAUAAUCUUAGUUACUUUAGGGAUAACAGCGCAAUAUUCUUUGAGAGUUCUUAUCAACAAGAAUGGUUUCGACCUCGAUGUUGAAUUAAGGUACCAAAAUAGAGCACAAAUUAUUUGUGGAAGUCUGUUCGACUUGCAAACCCUUACGUGAUCUGAGUUCAGACCGGAC